UGGAAACCGGCGAACGGGUGAGUAACGCGUACACAACCUACCCUUAACUGGGGGAUAGCCUUGGGAAACUGAGAUUAAUACCCCAUAAUAUUGAUUGAUUGCAUAUGAGUUCAAUUAAAGCUCAGGCGGUUAAGGAUGGGUGUGCGUUCCAUUAGCUAGUUGGUGAGGUAACGGCUCACCAAGGUGACGAUGGAUAGGGGGCGUGAGAGCGUGAUCCCCCACACGGGUACUGAGACACGGACCCG
RNAcentral lists this ribosomal RNA (245 nucleotides) under uncultured bacterium. RNAcentral's name for it is "partial 16S ribosomal RNA". It matches the Rfam family "Bacterial small subunit ribosomal RNA", at positions 89 to 334 of the family's 1533-position model. The record is from RNAcentral.